GUGCUCGCUUCUGCAGCACAUAUACUAAAAUUGGAAUGAUACAGAGAAGAUUAGCAUGGCCCCUGCGCAA
This 70-nucleotide small RNA is filed under the name Podarcis lilfordi (Lilford's wall lizard). Lineage: Eukaryota; Metazoa; Chordata; Lepidosauria; Squamata; Lacertidae. The record is from RNAcentral.